UUUCGCAAUGCCCGAAAGGGUGACGAAGCGACGCCGCGUGGGUGAGGAAGGCCCUCGGGUUGUAAAACCCUGUCAGGAGUUAAGAAAUGUAAGUGCGCUAAUAUCGCAUUUAUUUGACGAAGGCUCCAAAGGAAGCCACGGCUAACUCUGUGCCAGCAGCCGCGGUAAUACAGAGGUGGCAAGCGUCGUUCGGAAUUAUUGGGCGUAAAGAGCACGUAGGUGGGUUUGCAAGUCGGAAGUGAAAGCCUUCUGUUCAACGGAAGAAUUGCAUCUGAAACUGCAAGUCUUGAGUGUAGGAGGGGAGAAUGGAACUUCUGGUGGAGCGGUGAAAUGCGUAGAUAUCAGAAGGAACGCCGGCGGCGAAAGCGAUUCUCUGGCCUAUUACUGACACUCAGUGUGCGAAAGCUAGGGGAGCAAACGGGAUUAGAUACCCCGGUAGUCCUAGCCGUAAACGAUGGGCACUAAGUAGAGGGGUUUU
This 478-nucleotide ribosomal RNA is filed under the name uncultured bacterium. RNAcentral describes it as "bacterial SSU rRNA". It matches the Rfam family "Bacterial small subunit ribosomal RNA", at positions 364 to 832 of the family's 1533-position model. The record is from RNAcentral.